AGGCGGAGAAUAUCUCGUAGGGGACUUUUAAAGGAUUAAAAGUGGCCUACAGGCUAGUUUACACGAGGUUCGCAGAGAUGCAUCAUUGGGAAUCUGGAAUGGAGAGAAUGUGUAACUAGUAUAGUUUACUUUCUGCAUUUAUAAGAACAUAUUUUAUUAUGUUGAUUAAGUGACCCAUUUAGACUGGUUGUUUUAAAUACUUAUUUAUUUAUUUAUAAUAAAGUUCAAAGUUUAGUUA
Molecule: long non-coding RNA, 238 nt
Organism: Beta vulgaris subsp. vulgaris (sugar beet)
Lineage: Eukaryota; Viridiplantae; Streptophyta; Magnoliopsida; Caryophyllales; Amaranthaceae
Exons: 2
Source: RefSeq, a predicted model, not a curated record